Non-coding RNA from Pangasianodon gigas (Mekong giant catfish), 71 nucleotides. The record is from the annotation of a GenBank genome assembly. Lineage: Eukaryota; Metazoa; Chordata; Actinopteri; Siluriformes; Pangasiidae.
UCACCAACUGCCGUGUGUACAGAGGAGCAGAGCUUGGCAACACCGACCAUCGUCUGCUGGUGGCUCAGCUU